GAUGAACGCUAGCGGCAGGCCUAACACAUGCAAGUCGAGGGGUAGAGUUAGCUUGCUAACUUGAGACCGGCGCACGGGUGCGUAACGCGUAUGCAAUCUACCUUAUACAGAGGGAUAGCCCAGAGAAAUUUGGAUUAAUACCUCAUAGUAUUAUCGAGUGGCAUCAUUUGAUAAUUAAAGUUCCAACGGUAUAAGAUGAGCAUGCGUCCCAUUAGUUAGUUGGUAAGGUAACGGCUUACCAAGACUAUGAUGGGUAGGGGUCCUGAGAGGGAGAUCCCCCACACUGGUACUGAGACACGGACCAGACUCCUACGGGAGGCAGCAGUGAGGAAUAUUGGACAAUGGGCGCAAGCCUGAUCCAGCCAUGCCGCGUGCAGGAAGACGGUCCUAUGGAUUGUAAACUGCUUUUUAUACAGGAAGAAACAUCUCUACGUGUAGAGACUUGACGGUACUGUAAGAAUAAGGAUCGGCUAACUCCGUGCCAG
RNAcentral lists this ribosomal RNA (485 nucleotides) under uncultured bacterium. RNAcentral describes it as "bacterial SSU rRNA". It matches the Rfam family "Bacterial small subunit ribosomal RNA", at positions 28 to 511 of the family's 1533-position model. The record is from RNAcentral.